GACGAACGCUGGCGGCGUGCUUAACACAUGCAAGUUGAACGGGGAUAUUGGCUUCGGUUGAUAUCCUAGUAGCGGACGGGUGAGUAACGCGUGAGCAACCAACCUUUGUGAGGGGGACAACAGCUGGAAACGGCUGCUAAUACCGCAUGAGACCACGGUUUCGCAUGGAACUGAGGUAAAAGAUUUAUCGCACAAAGACGGGCUCGCGUCCCAUUAGCUAGUUGGUGAGGUAACGGCUCACCAAGGCAACGAUGGGUAGCCGACCUGAGAGGGUGAUCGGCCACACUGGAACUGAGACACGGUCCAGACUCCUACGGGAGGCAGCAGUGGGGAAUAUUGGGCAAUGGGCGCAAGCCUGACCCAGCAACGCCGCGUGAGGGAAGAAGGUCUUCGGAUUGUAAACCUCUGUCCUUGGGGACGAAAAAAAUGACGGUACCCAAGGAGGAAGCUCCGGCUAACUACGUGCCAGCAGCCGCGGUAAUACGUAGGGAGCGAGCGUUGUCCGGAAUUACUGGGCGUAAAGGGUGCGUAGGCGGCAUGGCAAGUCAGAUGUGAAAUCCCCGGGCUUAACUCGGGUGGUGCAUUUGAAACCGCCAAGCUUGAGUGCAGGAGAGGAAAGCGGAAUUCCUAGUGUAGCGGUGAAAUGCGUAGAUAUUAGGAGGAACACCAGUGGCGAAGGCGGCUUUCUGGACUGUAACUGACGCUGAGGCACGAAAGCGUGGGGAGCAAACAGGAUUAGAUACCCUGGUAGUCCACGCCGUAAACGAUGGGUACUAGGUGUGGGAGGUAUCGACCCCUUCCGUGCCGCCGUUAACACAAUAAGUACCCCGCCUGGGGAGUACGAUCGCAAGAUUAAAACUCAAAGGAAUUGACGGGGGCCCGCACAAGCAGCGGAGCAUGUGGUUUAAUUCGAAGCAACGCGAAGAACCUUACCUAGACUUGACAUCUCCUGAAUUACUCGUAACAGAGGAAGCCUUUCGGGGCAGGAAGACAGGUGGUGCAUGGUUGUCGUCAGCUCGUGUCGUGAGAUGUUGGGUUAAGUCCCGCAACGAGCGCAACCCUUGUUGUCAGUUGCCAUCAUUCAGUUGGGCACUCUGGCGAGACUGCCGGUGACAAAUCGGAGGAAGGUGGGGACGACGUCAAAUCAUCAUGCCCCUUAUGACCUGGGCUACACACGUACUACAAUGGCGAUUACAAUGGGAUGCAAGAUCGCGAGAUGGAGCCAAUCCACAAAAAUCGCCCCAGUUCAGAUUGCAGGCUGCAACUCGCCUGCAUGAAGUCGGAAUUGCUAGUAAUGGCAGGUCAGCAUACUGCCGUGAAUACGUUCCCGGGCCUUGUACACACCGCCCGUCACACCAUGAGAGUUGACAACACCCGAAGUCAGUAGCUUAACCGCAAGGGGGGCGCUGCCGAAGGUGGGGUUGAUGAUUGGGGUG
RNAcentral lists this ribosomal RNA (1436 nucleotides) under uncultured bacterium. Its description in RNAcentral is "bacterial SSU rRNA". It matches the Rfam family "Bacterial small subunit ribosomal RNA". The record is from RNAcentral.